ACUCCUACGGGAGGCAGCAGUGGGGAAUAUUGGACAAUGGGCGCAAGCCUGAUCCAGCCAUGCCGCGUGAGUGAUGAAGGCCCUAGGGUUGUAAAGCUCUUUCACCGGUGAAGAUAAUGACGGUAACCGAGAAGAAGCUCCGGCUAACUUCGUGCCAGCAGCCGCGGUAAUACGAAGGGAGCUAGCGUUGUUCGGAAUUACUGGGCGUAAAGCGCACGUAGGCGGACUGUUAAGUC
This 236-nucleotide ribosomal RNA is filed under the name uncultured bacterium. RNAcentral's name for it is "partial 16S ribosomal RNA". It matches the Rfam family "Bacterial small subunit ribosomal RNA", at positions 335 to 589 of the family's 1533-position model. The record is from RNAcentral.